Molecule: ribosomal RNA, 253 nt
Filed under: uncultured Eubacteriales bacterium
Lineage: Bacteria; Bacillati; Bacillota; Clostridia; Eubacteriales
Description: uncultured Clostridiales bacterium partial 16S ribosomal RNA
Rfam family: Bacterial small subunit ribosomal RNA
Source: RNAcentral
UACGUAGGGGGCAAGCGUUAUCCGGAUUUACUGGGUGUAAAGGGAGCGUAGACGGCGCGGCAAGUCUGAAGUGAAAGGCAGGGGCUUAACCCCUGAACUGCUUUGGAAACUGGCAUGCUAGAGUGCCGGAGGGGCAAGCGGAAUUCCUAGUGUAGCGGUGAAAUGCGUAGAUAUUAGGAGGAACACCGGUGGCGAAGGCGGCUUGCUGGACGGUAACUGACGUUGAGGCUCGAAAGCGUGGGGAGCAAACAGG